Molecule: ribosomal RNA, 398 nt
Filed under: Carnobacterium sp. AZTITEMP51
Lineage: Bacteria; Bacillati; Bacillota; Bacilli; Lactobacillales; Carnobacteriaceae
Description: bacterial SSU rRNA
Rfam family: Bacterial small subunit ribosomal RNA
Source: RNAcentral
GGAGCAUGUGGUUUAAUUCGAAGCAACGCGAAGAACCUUACCAGGUCUUGACAUCCUUUGACCACUCGAGAGAUCGAGCUUUCCCUUCGGGGACAAAGUGACAGGUGGUGCAUGGUUGUCGUCAGCUCGUGUCGUGAGAUGUUGGGUUAAGUCCCGCAACGAGCGCAACCCUUAUUACUAGUUGCCAGCAUUCAGUUGGGCACUCUAGUGAGACUGCCGGUGACAAACCGGAGGAAGGUGGGGAUGACGUCAAAUCAUCAUGCCCCUUAUGACCUGGGCUACACACGUGCUACAAUGGAUGGUACAACGAGUCGCGAAGUCGUGAGGCCAAGCUAAUCUCUUAAAGCCAUUCUCAGUUCGGAUUGUAGGCUGCAACUCGCCUACANGAAGCCGGAAUC